RNAcentral lists this ribosomal RNA (910 nucleotides) under uncultured bacterium. RNAcentral describes it as "bacterial SSU rRNA". It matches the Rfam family "Bacterial small subunit ribosomal RNA", at positions 33 to 933 of the family's 1533-position model. The record is from RNAcentral.
ACGCUGGCUACAGGCUUAACACAUGCAAGUCGAGGGGAAACGACGGGGAAGCUUGCUUCCCCGGGCGUCGACCGGCGCACGGGUGAGUAACGCGUAUCCAACCUGCCUCUGACUGAGGGAUAACCCGUCGAAAGUCGGCCUAAUACCUCAUGGCAUCGUCUGCGGGCAUCCAACGACGAUUAAAGAUUUCAUCGGUCAGGGAUGGGGAUGCGUCUGAUUAGCUGGUUGGCGGGGUAACGGCCCACCAAGGCUACGAUCAGUAGGGGUUCUGAGAGGAAGGUCCCCCACAUUGGAACUGAGACACGGUCCAAACUCCUACGGGAGGCAGCAGUGAGGAAUAUUGGUCAAUGGGCGGGAGCCUGAACCAGCCAAGUAGCGUGCAGGAAGACGGCCCUAUGGGUUGUAAACUGCUUUUAUGCGGGGAUAAAGUGAGGGACGUGUCCUUCAUUGCAGGUACUGCAUGAAUAAGGACCGGCUAAUUCCGUGCCAGCAGCCGCGGUAAUACGGAAGGUCCGGGCGUUAUCCGGAUUUAUUGGGUUUAAAGGGAGCGUAGGCCGUGGAUUAAGCGUGUUGUGAAAUGCAGGUGCUCAACGUCUGCACUGCAGCGCGAACUGGUUCACUUGAGUGUGCGCAACGCAGGCGGAAUUCGUCGUGUAGCGGUGAAAUGCUUAGAUAUGACGAAGAACUCCGAUUGCGAAGGCAGCCUGCGGGAGCACAACUGACGCUGAAGCUCGAAAGUGCGGGUAUCGAACAGGAUUAGAUACCCUGGUAGUCCGCACGGUAAACGAUGGAUGCCCGUUGUCAGGCUGUUUCAGCCUGGUGACCAAGCGAAAGCAUUAAGCAUCCCACCUGGGGAGUACGCCGGCAACGGUGAAACUCAAAGGAAUUGACGGGGGCCCGCACAAGCGGA